RNAcentral lists this ribosomal RNA (445 nucleotides) under uncultured bacterium. RNAcentral's name for it is "partial 16S ribosomal RNA". It matches the Rfam family "Bacterial small subunit ribosomal RNA", at positions 354 to 796 of the family's 1533-position model. The record is from RNAcentral.
GUGAGGAAUAUUGCGCAAUGGAGGCAACUCUGACGCAGCCAUGCCGCGUGCAGGAAGAAGGCGCUACGUGUUGUAAACUGCUUUUAACCGGGAAGAAACCCCAGGACGUGUCCUGGGUUGACGGUACCGGAGGAAUAAGCACCGGCUAACUUCGUGCCAGCAGCCGCGGUAAUACGAAGGGUGCAAGCGUUAUCCGGAUUCAUUGGGUUUAAAGGGUGCGUAGGCGGAGCGUUAAGUCAGUGGUGAAAUCCUGCAGCUUAACUGUAGACUUGCCAUUGAUACUGGGGCUCUUGAGUGCGCUUGAAGUGGGCGGAAUGUGCCGUGUAGCGGUGAAAUGCUUAGAUAUGGCACAGAACACCAAUUGCGAAGGCAGCUCACUAAGGCGAUACUGACGCUGAGGCACGAAAGCGUGGGGAUCGAACAGGAUUAGAAACCCGAGUAGUCC